GGGCGCGGGCGGCAGCAGCGGUGGCGGUUCGGGCGGAUCCCUGUUACAGUUACGUACUGACGAAAUACUUUGAAACCAACCAUGUCAUUGUAAGCUUAGGUAAGUACUUAAGUAGAUGUGACUAUUUUUUUCUUUAAAUAUAUAAUCCAAAAUAUGUAAGGUUUAAUUUAUUAUUUUUUUUUUUUUUUAAUAAAAAGGUACAAAUGUCAUUCUGAACAUCAGUGCUGACAAAGUUCCUAACUGGUGAUGAAAGUAUUCCACCUGGAGAACAUCCAUUCCCUCCCCCUUUUGCAUACUCAGAAUUCCCAAAAUGGAAAGGACCAGAUGUGUGGCUCCUGUGGCAUCCUACCCAUUUUCCAUUUCAGGACUGUUCAAUGUUUUUUGCAGCUUAUUCUGUCCACAGUCACCAUGUAAAACCAUUUAAUAUUAAAGUCUUGCAGUCGCAGGUUUUAUCACAGGUAUCCUGGAAUCUAGGGAUGAAAAAAAAAUAGUAGUAAACUGUAUAUAUGGACAGCUAGAAUAUUAAAAGCAUCAUUCCAUAAAAUUCCUUAUUCUCCAUAAUGCUUUUUAUUUAAAACUAGGUAACAGCAAAAAAAGGUUUAAAAAAAGACAAGAUGUGGUCAUUUAUGCAAGCAAAAACAUGUAACUGGCUUACUUCCACUCAGAGCUCAUGAACACUUUUAUUGCAUCUACCAUAAUGAAUCACCAGAAGUGACAUGUGAUUUUUCUUAGGAGUUAACUAUGAUUUUCUCUCCCAAGUACCCUAUUUACCCACAUUCAAGAUAACUUUGAAUUUAAGAUGACCCCCCAAUAAUUAGAUUCUAUACACAGAAAAUUUAUAAGUGUGGUAUAAUUCUCUCUCAAAUUUGCCAUACAUUUUUCCCCAGAAAGCAGCAGUGGGGGUGAAAGGGACAAGACCCAAGAGGCAGGGGACUUGCCCCUUUCCUGACCCUCUCACGCCUUGCCUCUCCCCCAGUACCUGUGUCUGCCAAGUGCCUGCCCCCCACCACCAUCUCCCGGUUAAAUUCUUCUGUUGCAAAGAACCCAGAAGGACCCAGCGGGGUCAGAAUGUGUUUGACCCUGUGGAUUCCUCAUUGAAAUCUCUGUGUUUAUCUGCAAGUUGUAAAGCAUGUAUAAGUGCUUGUACGAUGUAGCACCCUGACUGAGAAUCACUAUGUUAGUCUUAUAGCAGUAAAAGACCAUGCUUACCUAA
Alligator mississippiensis (American alligator) is the source of this 1213-nucleotide long non-coding RNA. RefSeq lists it as uncharacterized. The transcript is spliced from 2 exons. Lineage: Eukaryota; Metazoa; Chordata; Crocodylia; Alligatoridae. The record is from RefSeq and is a predicted model, not a curated record.